Molecule: ribosomal RNA, 253 nt
Filed under: uncultured bacterium
Lineage: Bacteria
Description: partial 16S ribosomal RNA
Rfam family: Bacterial small subunit ribosomal RNA
Source: RNAcentral
UACGGGGGGGGCAAGCGUUGUUCGGAAUUACUGGGCGUAAAGGGCUCGUAGGUGGCCAACUAAGUCAGACGUGAAAUCCCUCGGCUUAACCGGGGAACUGCAUCUGAUACUGGAUGGCUUGAGUUUGGGAGAGGGAUGUGGAAUUCCAGGUGUAGCGGUGAAAUGCGUAGGUAUCUGGAGGAACACCGGUGGCGAAGGCGACAUCCUGGACCGGUAUUGACGCUGAGGCGCGAAAGCCAGGGGAGCAAACGGG